AUAUGGGUAUUGUGAAGAAAAAGGAAAUGAAAGGUGCCAUAUCAGCAUUAGCUUCUAUUCAAGGUUAUCUAUUAGUUGCUUCAGGCCCAAAAGUUAUCCUACACAAGUGGACCGGUUCUGAGUUGAACGGUGUUGCUUUUUUCGAUGCCCCACCACUUUAUGUAGUCAGCUUAAAUAUUGUCAAGAAUUUUAUUCUGAUUGGAGAUAUUCUGAUUGGAGAUAUUCUGAUUGAGAAAACGGAUCUCAAUUGACUUUACUGGCUAAGGAUUUUGGCUCUCUGGACUGCUUUGCAACAGAGUUUCUGAUCGAUGGGAUGCUUGAUUCAGGAAUAUUAAACAAGGGAGUGCGCACGAAUUUGGCUAUGAUUGCAACGCAUCCACUUGUUCAGCUUUCUUUCCUUCACAUUCUUCUAAUAAAGAAGAUGAGGGAAUCAAUACAUAUGAUUACAUUGAUCAUAGCGUUGAGAGAGUAGGAACAAGAAGGAAGCGUGGUUAACAAGUCCUCAAAUGUCACCAGCAAGCUCUAUCGCCGGUUUGAGCAACACCAGCUCAUUUAAUAAUUUCCAUCAAGGAGCUUAGUAUACACCCUAGGCCUGGAAAAGUUAACCUAAGCAGGGCAGCAUCCAUAGGAUAUCAGAGUUCUUGUUCUUGGCAUUGCCUUCCCUUGACAAGUUGCUUCGCCCAACGAAUUGAGGAAUUCUAAGAUGACAUGGUAAUGGAUGGUGCUUAUCAUGUACGUAAUCUAAAGCAAUUGAUGACAUGGUAAUGGAUGGUGCUUAUCAUGAACCGUGGGGUCUUCAUUCUUUUGUGAGC
Long non-coding RNA from Helianthus annuus (common sunflower), 812 nucleotides. RefSeq lists it as uncharacterized. Lineage: Eukaryota; Viridiplantae; Streptophyta; Magnoliopsida; Asterales; Asteraceae. The transcript has 4 exons. The record is from RefSeq and is a predicted model, not a curated record.